This 770-nucleotide ribosomal RNA is filed under the name uncultured bacterium. RNAcentral describes it as "bacterial SSU rRNA". It matches the Rfam family "Bacterial small subunit ribosomal RNA", at positions 28 to 777 of the family's 1533-position model. The record is from RNAcentral.
GACGAACGCUGGCGGCGUGCUUAACACAUGCAAGUCGAGGGCAUCAUCCGGGCAACCGGGUGGUGACCGGCGAACGGGUGCGUAACACGUGAGCGACCUGCCGAUCGGCGGGGGAUAGCCGGCCCAACGGCCGGGUAAUACCGCAUACGCUCUCGCUGCCACCUGGCGGGGAGAGGAAACUGCCGGGGCAACCUGGUGGGCGGAUCGAGGGGCUCGCGGCCUAUCAGCUCGUUGGCGGGGUAACGGCCCACCAAGGCGACGACGGGUAGCUGGUCUGAGAGGAUGGCCAGCCACAUUGGGGACUGAGAGACGGGCCCCAGACUCCUACGGGGAGGCAGCAGUGGGGCAAUAUUGCGCAAUGGCCGCAAGGCUGACGCAGCGACGCCGCGUGGAGGAUGACGCCCCUCGGGGUGUAAAAGCUCCUGUUGCCCGGGACGAACGAGCGGGUUAGCCCGCUGUGACGGUACCGGGUGAGGAAGCACCGGCUAACUCCGUGCCAGCAGCCGCGGUAAUACGGAGGGUGCGAGCGUUGUCCGGAAUCACUGGGCGUAAAGGGCGCGUAGGCGGUGGGGGUAAGCGUGUGGUGAAAAGUCCGGGGGCUCAACCCCGGAUCGGCCGUGCGAACUGUCCCGACUGGAGCACUGUAGAGGCAGGUGGAAUUCCGGGUGUAGCGGUGGAAUGCGUAGAGAUCCGGAAGAACACCAGGGGCGAAGGCGGCCUGCUGGGCAGUGGCUGACGCUGAGGCGCGACAGCGUGGGGAGCAAACAGGA